AAAGAUACUAAAUCUAGUCUCUAAAGAAAUUAGUACCCGGUCCCAAAAUACAAUUUAUACGUGGGAGCGGGAAAAAGGUGUCCUAAAGGUGAUACUAAAAUAUUAAAAAACAUAAAAUUUUUCACCAUAACAUCCAUCGCCAAAACUAAGAAUUAUUUUUCAAAGAAAAAGCAAAAAAACUCUUUGUUUCUCAAUACAGAUCCCAUUGCUAUACUUUGCCCUAGCAGCAGCUCCUCUGCAGAUCUCUAUUCUCAGCUACCAUUCAUAAAAAACAUUACAGUUUCUCAAAACAGAGAAAGCACAACAAAUUGUAUGUCAUCUAGUUUGCUCAAAUCUAUUUUCAUCUAUUCUAAUAUUAGAAGCUACAGGUGCUGAAGAGACAAUUUUUGUUGCAUCAUCUUCAACGAGGGAUAGUUAACUCUCAUUAAGAUUUAAGUCCUCAAUAAUUGCAGCUGCAACUCCUUCAACUCCUUUUCUCAUGGAGAGCUGCUGGAUAUGGACUUUUAUUCUACACGUGUGAAGCUCUAACAUCUACUCCUGUGCUUUCGGAUUUCCUCAGGAUUUGAAUAUUUCCGUUUACAAGUCGAGAUGCAAGUUUGAAGAAAUUAAACAAGUUUUGCCAAAUCGGUCAUCCUUUCGCUUGGAUAGUUUGGCAAUACAUUUCAUUAUAUAUUUAGAGAUGUUAGCUUUUUGGCUAAUACAACUACAACAACAACAUACCAGUGGGAAUAUAGUGUUGUGUAAUCAGUACUGCAUGUGAGAUGUUUAUCUAUAGUUUUAAAUAAUACGAUCGAUAAUUUUGUAUA
Solanum dulcamara is the source of this 806-nucleotide long non-coding RNA. RefSeq lists it as uncharacterized. The transcript has 4 exons. NCBI's taxonomy places the organism in Eukaryota, Viridiplantae, Streptophyta, Magnoliopsida, Solanales, Solanaceae. The record is from RefSeq and is a predicted model, not a curated record.